GACGAACGCUGGCGGCGUGCCUAACACAUGCAAGUCGAGCGGAGUCAGUAAGAGGAAGUUUUCGGAUGGAAUCUUGCUGGUUUAGCGGCGGACGGGUGAGUAACGCGUGAGCGACCAACCUUGCACAGGGGGAUAACGGACCGAAAGGUUCACUAAUACCGCAUGAGACCACGGUGUUGCAUGACACAGGGGUCAAAGGAGCAAUCCGGUGCAAGACGGGCUCGCGUCCGAUUAGGUAGUUGGAGGGGUAACGGCCCACCAAGCCUAUGAUCGGUAGCCGACCUGGGAGGGGGAUCGGCCACAUUGGAACUGAGAUACGGUCCAAACUCCUACGGGAGGCAGCAGUGGGGAAUAUUGGGCAAUGGGGGAAACCCUGACCCAGCAACGCCGCGUGAAGGAAGAAGGUUUUCGGAUUGUAAACUUCUGUCCUUGGUGAAGAGAAGAAGACGGUAGCCAAGGAGGAAGUCCCGGCUAACUACGUGCCAGCAGCCGCAGUAA
This 498-nucleotide ribosomal RNA is filed under the name uncultured bacterium. RNAcentral's name for it is "partial 16S ribosomal RNA". It matches the Rfam family "Bacterial small subunit ribosomal RNA", at positions 28 to 523 of the family's 1533-position model. The record is from RNAcentral.